UACAGAGGUCUCAAGCGUUGUUCGGAUUCAUUGGGCGUAAAGGGCGUGUAGGCGGUCUGUUAAGUCAUGUGUGAAAUCCCUCGGCUCAACCGGGGAACGACGCAUGAAACUGACAAGCUAGAGUACCAAAGAGGGGGGUGGAAUUCCCGGUGUAGCGGUGAAAUGCGUAGAUAUCGUAAGGAAGACCAGUGGCGAAGGCGGGUCUCUGGACAGUUCCUGACACUGAGGCACGAAGGCCAGGGGAGCAAACGGG
Molecule: ribosomal RNA, 253 nt
Filed under: uncultured bacterium
Lineage: Bacteria
Description: partial 16S ribosomal RNA
Rfam family: Bacterial small subunit ribosomal RNA
Source: RNAcentral